This 88-nucleotide transfer RNA is filed under the name Bacilli bacterium. RNAcentral describes it as "tRNA-Leu". It matches the Rfam family "tRNA". Rfam says of the family: Transfer RNA (tRNA) molecules are approximately 80 nucleotides in length. Their secondary structure includes four short double-helical elements and three loops (D, anti-codon, and T loops). Further hydrogen bonds mediate the characteristic L-shaped molecular structure. tRNAs have two regions of fundamental functional importance: the anti-codon, which is responsible for specific mRNA codon recognition, and the 3' end, to which the tRNAs corresponding amino acid is attached (by aminoacyl-tRNA synthetases). tRNAs cope with the degeneracy of the genetic code in two manners: having more than one tRNA (with a specific anti-codon) for a particular amino acid; and 'wobble' base-pairing, i.e. permitting non-standard base-pairing at the 3rd anti-codon position. Lineage: Bacteria; Bacillati; Bacillota; Bacilli. The record is from RNAcentral.
GCCAGCGUGGCGGAAUUGGUAGACGCAGUGGACUCAAAAUCCACCGGACCAUAAAUCCAUGCGGGUUCGAGUCCCGCCGCUGGCACCA